This 71-nucleotide transfer RNA is filed under the name Marmota monax (woodchuck). It matches the Rfam family "tRNA". From Rfam's summary of the family: Transfer RNA (tRNA) molecules are approximately 80 nucleotides in length. Their secondary structure includes four short double-helical elements and three loops (D, anti-codon, and T loops). The record is from Rfam by way of RNAcentral. Lineage: Eukaryota; Metazoa; Chordata; Mammalia; Rodentia; Sciuridae.
GUGGCUGUGGCUCAGUGGUAGAGCGCUUGCCUAGCAUGCUUGAGGCACUGGGUUCUAUUCUCAGCACCACA